Molecule: microRNA precursor, 72 nt
Filed under: Mesocricetus auratus (golden hamster)
Lineage: Eukaryota; Metazoa; Chordata; Mammalia; Rodentia; Cricetidae
Description: miRNA (ENSMAUG00000003282.1)
Source: RNAcentral
GAAUUAGGGAAGGGAGAGGGAAUGAGGCCUUUAUGGAUAUCCUGAGCCUGACCCACCUCCUGCUCUCCCCAG